RNAcentral lists this long non-coding RNA (1532 nucleotides) under Vitis vinifera (wine grape). RNAcentral describes it as "long non-coding RNA (VVIN_LNC005290)". The record is from RNAcentral. Lineage: Eukaryota; Viridiplantae; Streptophyta; Magnoliopsida; Vitales; Vitaceae.
CGGAGCAGGGUGCCUCAGGCGGUGCUUGGCCAGGUAUGAUUACUAAUUCACUGCGCGUCAAACAAUCCAUGCAUGGAAGGUUAUUUUCGUUAUUUUAUCAAAAUCGUGAGGGCAUUUUUGUCCUUUGACUUGAAAAAAAAAACCAUAAUCAUGACCCCAAAACAACCUUUGAAAAUAUUUUAUCCAAAUAGGGAUAAUGGGUGACAAUUGCAUGACUACCUGAAUGCCUCUUUUGGGGUGCCCUUAACCAACCACAGAGCAUAUUUGUUAUUUACGAAAAAAGAGAGGGUAUUUUGGUAUUUGAAUUAUCAAAAUUUUGGAAAAAUAUAUCUACAAUAUAUAGUCUAUUUUACAGCUAGAUUUUAACAAAAAUAAAAUUAAUAAAUAUAAUAUUCUCUUGAUGAUUUAACUUAAAUGAUAGAUAUUCAAUUAAUUUUUUUAAAAAAUAUUGAAAGUAGUUAAAUUACAUCUUACCUUACAUUGAAGAGGCCAUUUUGGGAAAUAUAAAAAAUAAGCAUUACUCAUAAACUAAUUAAAAAAAUAUUAAUAAAAAAUAGAGAAAUGGUCAAUAAUAAUAAUAAUAAAAUUAUAUAUUUAUGCAAUUUAAAAGAAAAUCACAUAAUGUAAAAUUAAAAAAAAAAUUAUUAUUUUUAAUGGGACAAAGUAGGGCUGGCAGGUGGUUUGGAAAUAUCGAAGGCCGCCACUAAUCUCAUCCCAUGGGUCACAUUCAAGCCAACCGGCUUUGAAUUCAAUUUUUCUCAAACCCACCAACCAAAUAAAGUGAGAAAUUAAAUUCCCAAAUAAUUAAAAAAUUCAAGUAAAAAAUGGUCUAAUUUGACCCUUUCAAGUUUGACUUCAUCAAUUUGACUUUGCAAGUUUAAAUUUGGAUUUUUAUUUUUAUUUUUUUAUUUUUGGGAAGUUGUGUAUAUUGGAUUUAUGUUGAGUCGAAGUCGAAAAUAGUAUACUUUGACCCUUUCUAGUCUGACUUCAUCAUUUGAACUUGCACGUGUGUUGGACCCUUUUUUUUUUUUAAAUAUGAAUCAAAAUUAAACAAAAUUUUAAAAAUAUUAUUUUAUUAAAAUAAAAUUAAUAAAAUAAUAAGCUUUUAUGUGUAGGGUUAUGGAAUGACAGAGGCCGGACCGGUGUUAUCGAUGUGCCUAGCCUUCGCCAAGCAGCCCUUUCCUACUAAGUCCGGCUCGUGCGGCACCGUUGUCCGCAAUGCUGAGCUCAAGGUCGUCGACCCUGAGACCGGUUGCUCCCUCGGCCGCAACCAACCGGGCGAGAUCUGCAUUCGAGGACAACAGAUUAUGAAAGGUUUGACUACUGAGAAAAGCGUUCAGCUACUAUGAUAGAAAAUGAACAAUUGAAGCAACUCCAUGCAUGCUCAUUCAUCAUUUUAACUAUAAUACCUGUAUUAUAGGAUACUUGAACGAUCCCGAGGCCACGGCCUCUACCAUCGAUGUUGACGGUUGGCUACACACCGGUGACAUUGGCUAUGUUGACGAUGAUGAAGAGGUGUUCAUCGUAGAUAG